Long non-coding RNA from Panicum virgatum (switchgrass), 872 nucleotides. RefSeq lists it as uncharacterized. NCBI's taxonomy places the organism in Eukaryota, Viridiplantae, Streptophyta, Magnoliopsida, Poales, Poaceae. The transcript has 4 exons. The record is from RefSeq and is a predicted model, not a curated record.
GCCCCAUUAGCCCGUGCGCACCUUUGCUGUGCGGGGAAAUAAGUUGGAGGUUCUCGAAGAAGAGGAGGCCACCUAGCAGGUGAAAAAGCUCAGGGCAACCCUUGCUGACGUGUCCAGCCAGAUAACCAAUCUGAUGGAGAUGUUCGAGUCCUGCGCUCAUCUCUUAGAGUGAGCGGGCCCCACCCUCAAAGAGAACAAGAGGCUUCGGGACUUGGUGGCGGCGCUCGAAGGGUUCCUGGCUGGAGCCCACGAGGAGAACUCAUCGCUGAAGAACCAGCUAAGCGAGGCCGAAACUCAUCUUUUCAUGGCCAAGGAAGAGAAGAGAGUAUUGGAGAUAGAGCUCGACUACGCCCGGAAGAUAGUGGAGAAAAUGAUCAAGGAGCUUGCUGAUGUACGUGCCGGCUCCCAGGCCUAAUUCUGCGACUAUGACUUGCGCCUUGACACCGAGCAGAACAAGGUCAAGAUCAUUCCUGAAGGAGUGAGGCUGUUGCGCUGGACUGCGUUGAUCUCGUGCUGGGAUCUCUUUGACACGCGGGGCCCCAGGCCUGACGAGUUCGAGGAGAGAUGUCAAGGAUCCUUCGACCACUUCAAGGAGUUCAUGUGCGAUGUUGCUCGCUCAGCUGCCGGCCACGUGCUGGCUGUUGUCAAGUCACUGUAUCCGAGGGUGAACCUGGAGAUGAUCAGCGAAGGCUUCGCCCAAGGGGUGUCGGAUGUAAAGAUCCCAACCCUUCAGGAAGAAGUGUCAGAGCCAGCGGUCAAGCUAGCUGAUGACCUGGACCUGUUCGGUGACAAGGGAGAUGCAGAGAAAUAGAUUAGGGAGAAUUUCUUAAUGUAUCUCCUUAACUCGCUGAGCAGUUUGUAUAGAAAACAAU